AACCCCUAAUUUUUCCCUUAAAAUCAGUUUCCUCAAAUCACCCCCAAUUUCACCCCUCUGUUGCCCUUUUCAAUAAAGAAACUCUUUAACAACACCGUCUCCAUUGUCUGGGUGUCUCUUGCUUCCUCAGCGCUAGAGGUAGAGGUGUGGCUGCUCUCCGGCCGAUUAGCAAAGGAGAGUUGCUUCUUAAAGUUCCAAAAUCUGCCUUAAUCACAACUGGCUCUCUUCUUUCAAGAAAUGAAACUUUGUCUCUUGCACUCAAAGCCCAUCUUUCUCACUCUUCUACCCAGGUAUUCACUGUUUGUUUGUUAUAUGAAAUCAAUAAAGGAAAGGCUUCUCCAUGGCACCCUUAUUUUCUGCACUUGCCUCAUAGUUAUUCCAUACUUGCCGCUUUCGGUGAACUUGAAACGCAAGCCUUGAAAGUGGAUUAUGCCAUCUGGGCUGCUCAGAAAGCUGUCACAAAAGCUAAAUACGAGUGGGAACAAGCCUUCACUCUCAUGAAGGAACUUAAGCUUAAGCCUCCACUUCUCACUUUCAGGGCUUGGAUUUUGGCUACUGGGACUAUAAGUUCACAGUGUUUAUGCUUUCCUGGGUUUUUCUUUUUCGGUUUUUAUUUAUGUUGGACAACUUCAACUUAGACUGUUAUGCACAUUUCACACGCAUGCGUAUGGAUAAAUGUAUGGAUAAACAAGCAUACAUGGGUUCUUAAUUUAUCUUUUUGUGUCUCUACUUAACAUUUUCCUACAUAUUAUUGCUUUGAUAAAGGUUCAGAUUAUUGCUCGGGACAAAACACUGUAGACUUCCGAAAAUAUAUGUUAUUUAUGCAAACAUUUCUUAGUAAGAUGAGAUUAAAGUUUUGGCGUGUCAAACAAAUAAUACUGUUUGAAAAGUUCAGAAUUGGAAUAGACUACUGCUUUAAAGUAUCUGUAUGGAUGGUUACAUCAUCACCCAAAGUAUGGUACUCUUGCGCCACCGGAGCUUGCUAAUUCUUUGUAUUAUGCAUAUGCACUAGAUUUGAAGCCAAACUAUGUGCGUGCUUGGGCAAACAUGGGUAUCAGUUACGCCAACCAGGUUUGAGUUUUUGUUGGAUGCAUGGUUCAGGAUUAGCUGAAUUCAUGCAUAGUGACGACUUGUUUGAGCUAAUUGCUGAUCUUAAAGUGUGCAUUCUAUCAUUAUUUUGUUCUAUUUGUAUUUUGUUAGAUUUCUGGUGUUGUAUGAUAAGUGUGGUAUUUUGUUUGAUUGUUAUUGAUAAACUUUCUAUUUGGUGGGAUAUAUAUUUAUAUCAUAGAUAUUAUUAUUCUUCUCAA
Long non-coding RNA from Gossypium arboreum, 1307 nucleotides. RefSeq lists it as uncharacterized. The record is from RefSeq and is a predicted model, not a curated record. The transcript has 5 exons. Lineage: Eukaryota; Viridiplantae; Streptophyta; Magnoliopsida; Malvales; Malvaceae.